AUCUAGCUGACGAGUCCCAAAUAGGACAAAAUACACGUCCUGGAU
This is a non-coding RNA of Schistosoma mattheei, 45 nucleotides long. The record is from Rfam. Lineage: Eukaryota; Metazoa; Platyhelminthes; Trematoda; Strigeidida; Schistosomatidae.